RNAcentral lists this ribosomal RNA (253 nucleotides) under uncultured bacterium. RNAcentral's name for it is "partial 16S ribosomal RNA". It matches the Rfam family "Bacterial small subunit ribosomal RNA", at positions 524 to 776 of the family's 1533-position model. The record is from RNAcentral.
UACAGGGGGGGCAAGCGUUGUUCGGAAUUACUGGGCGUAAAGGGUUCGUAGGUGGCCAACUAAGUCAGACGUGAAAUCCCUCAGCUUAACUGGGGAACUGCGUCUGAUACUGGAUGGCUUGAGUUUGGGAGAGGGAUGCGGAAUUCCAGGUGUAGCGGUGAAAUGCGUAGAUAUCUGGAGGAACACCGGUGGCGAAGGCGGCAUCCUGGACCAACACUGACACUGAGGAGCGAAAGCCAGGGGAGCAAACGGG